CCGCUGCGAAAGUGGGGAGACAGGUAGAGAAGGAAGGUGGUGAGGUAAUGGUAGGGGUGUAGCGACGACUAAAUGGUACGCCUCCGAGGUAAUGGUAGGGGUGUAGCGACUACUAAAGGGUACGCCUCCUCCAGGACACUGUGGCUACGGGAGUGGGUCGACGGCUGCCGCCGUGAAAAACAAGCACGGGUUCGCGGGUCACUCCAGUGGAGAGUGGAGGGAAGAUACCACGGUGGCGGGGUUGGGUAUGUGUCGAAGGAGAAGGGGUGAGGGUACCAUCGUCUAGACUCGUCAUGUCCCAAGGAAGCCAGGACCACCAAGCCUGACUCCACACGCCGGAGACGAGGGAAUAGAAGACCGCUGAUCCUCGUACCACCGACCACGGUGUUAGAGAUAAUCGGUAGAUACCACCGUUGCUAUAGUCCUUCGAGAGAGAAAGAGAGAGAUCAAUCAGGAUCAAACGGUCUUCUCUUCGCUACGGGAUAACAAAUACAUACCACUACUACUCAGGUACAACAACAGAUUGAUUAAGUGAGACACCGCCAGGUCUAAUAUACGAACUCUUCUAGCUGUCGCAGCUGUUCUCAUAGUCGACCAUAGAGAUGUAGGAGAAGAUGUUGGUAAAUCCGUGUUGUCACCGACCCGACGCCCCAAGUCAGCUGUGUACCACACAGGCGUAAAAGGAUAGAUGGACUUCCCGGAUGUACUCGCAACGGUUAUAGUCACACGAAACACGACGUCUUUACCUAUAAGUUUUUGGAGAUCGUGUACUAAAGGACCCUUAAGGACCGAUACAUGUCAAGUGGAGAGCAUAAGCUUCUAUAUAGCUGGACGAUCGAGUACUAGUCCUUUCUGUACGUUCUCCUGCUCCUUGGUACUUCGGUCACCAAGCACAGUUACUCUAUAAAAUACAUUACCACUGACCUAGCAACCUCUACGUAAAAUACAUAGUAAAACAUUACAACACAGACUCUUUUACUUGGUAUAACAUUACCUACUUGAUAAAUCUGCACUUUAAUUAAUUACACAAUAACAAACCAAUACCGAAUGAUAACAGUACUCUACGUGUAAUAUCAA
Molecule: ribosomal RNA, 1077 nt
Filed under: Triticum aestivum (bread wheat)
Lineage: Eukaryota; Viridiplantae; Streptophyta; Magnoliopsida; Poales; Poaceae
Description: partial small subunit ribosomal RNA
Source: RNAcentral